AGCCAAGCUUGAGAGAGGACCUUGACAGAUCCACUUGGACGCUAUGUCCACCUGGUGGACAAGCCUCUGCUUUCUGCGCUCUAGCACUGUGGAGUCCAUCUGUCUCUUAAGUCACCGUUUUUGGAGACAUGAGGGAGACAAGAGGUGAUGAGAGCAGGGCUGUGCAGCAGCAUAGGCAACAUACUGUGAGACAAGUCAUGGCCUUGGGUAGUAUUUGGGUUGAGGAGCCAUUGUGGUGGGACUGAGGGCAUAUGAAUACUGCAGACGUUGUUCCUGCAUGACCUUCCCUAUGAUGUCAGAGUGGGAGGGAAGGAGGCAAUGCCUCAUACCAUGCAACCAAUCAUCUGCGGUAGGAUGGUCUCUAUCCACAGUAGUACUAUGACUGGCUGGUGAGUAAGAUCACAUCCAAAGCUCUGCCAUUUGGUGUGGUGACUUUAAUUACACACACCUGCAGCCAAUGUUCUGCACAGACCUUUCCCUGGAACGGAAGGGGGCUCUGAAACUGAGUGUGUGCUCUCUGACCCUGCCCCACUUCCCUUUCAGUUCUUCCUCUGGUGUGGCCACCACAGCAGAUACAUGAGAUGGUGGGUGGAAGGUGAACUGACAGCAGAACCCAGCCCAGGGCAUUUUCCACUGGGAAAUGGGCUCCACCUCAUCCUGGUCCCCUGCCUCCCAGCAAUUUUCCACAUCAGAGGUUUGAGACCGAAGAACUGAAAUCUGCGGAGAGCCUUUGUUCUGUCUUUUAUCUUGUGAAUUGUUGGUCCGGCUCACAAAGGUGUUUUGAAGUCUUUUAAACAGCUAAUUGACAUAUAAAUGGUUUUCUUGAAACAUAGAACCUGUCAAGCACUUGGUUCUUCAGAACGAAGGAUAGAUUUGAACUGACUUCCGAUGUGCCAGGGUCUCCGCACUCUACGAGGACGCUCUCCAGCAUGAAUCAGACUGCUCUCAGAGAAGAUAUCUUUUAAAUCCCAAUUGCCUAAAAAGCUUCAUUUUGUAUUUUAAGCCCCUCCUUGAAUACAAGCAUUCCUUGGGGACACUGCCAGGAGCCUGGACUGCAUUCAUCCUUUGAUUUCCUUAAACCUUUGUGUAUUUACGCUUAAUAACCGACAUUAGUGACAUUAAAAUUCUACUCACUGCAAGCAGCAAAUAAUCCAUUCUUGCCUCCUUUUUUCUUUGAUAACUGACCUUUAAUAUAGAUCCAAGCUUAAACUCUCCAAACAGUCAUUUGCACACUCUCGCAGUAACAUUCAUCACUAUUUUCAGAUAAUUGCCUGGACACAUCAGUCAGGAGCUGGAUCCCAUAUGAAAGAAAUGCAGAGAUCCAGAGUGAAAGAUUAGAGCUUGAAUAAUUUUUAAGGGAAUAUCAACUAAGGACAAACAUUCCCUUGAUAUUGCGUGGAGGUCGGUCUUUAGAAUAGAUGGAUAUGAUUAAAGGCACACAACUAUUAGGCCUUUGCUGAUAACUUAUCAAUCUUUAUUUUGGGUCAACAAUAGUACUUCUUUUCCACAUCAUCUUGAUCAUGUGAAUAUUCACCUUCAUUUUAAAUCCUGCCCAGUAUUAUGACUUCCUUUCCUGAGGCUGCUCCUUUUAUGCUAAUUUCCCCCUCUCUCUGAUGUUGCUUUCCAGAUUAUGGAUCACUUAGAGGACAUCAAAAUAUAUUGAUGUCAUUGAGACUGGAGAAGUGUUGAACCAUUCAGUGGAAUACAUGAAGUA
This 1714-nucleotide long non-coding RNA is filed under the name Pogona vitticeps (central bearded dragon). RNAcentral describes it as "lncRNA (ENSPVIG00000004469.1)". Lineage: Eukaryota; Metazoa; Chordata; Lepidosauria; Squamata; Agamidae. The record is from RNAcentral.